Lepisosteus oculatus (spotted gar) is the source of this 119-nucleotide ribosomal RNA. NCBI's taxonomy places the organism in Eukaryota, Metazoa, Chordata, Actinopteri, Semionotiformes, Lepisosteidae. The record is from Ensembl.
AUUAGCAGCCAUAUCACCCUGCAACUCACAACUGGCAACCCACUGAAGCUAAGCAGGUGUGAGCCUGGUCAGUACCUGGAUGGGAGAACUCCUGGGAAAAACUAAGGUUGCUGCUGGAA